CCAACUCACGGAGAUGAUGUUCCUCCAUGCUAAUUUUUUGAUUAGCAAAACCGCUUAAACGCUGAUGACGUCUGUUAAUAC
This 81-nucleotide non-coding RNA is filed under the name Vibrio sp. RNAcentral's name for it is "Fluoride sequence". It matches the Rfam family "Fluoride riboswitch aptamer (crcB RNA motif)". Lineage: Bacteria; Pseudomonadati; Pseudomonadota; Gammaproteobacteria; Vibrionales; Vibrionaceae. The record is from RNAcentral.